AGCUGACGAAAUUAAUAUAUUGUUCACGAACAGUCCCAGAAAUGGAGAAGGUGGGGGUGGUGGAAUAAAAAUUUAGGGGAGGUGCAGCGGUCUAGCUCUCGACCCCCGUGGAAAGUUAGGGCUUACUGUAGAACGGGCCAAAGUCAACGACGUGACGUGUGUACUGUAUGCAGCGUACAGUACAUAUGUAUAUUAGUGUUUAAUGAAUUAUGACUGUACGACUCAUCCAAUUUUGUCCUUCAUUAAAAUUACUACAAAGUUUCUUUCAAAACAUUGCAUUAAAAGGGUAUAUUUGACACAUAUAGAUGAAUGGCUAUCACUGUUUCAGUUUUACAAAAGGACCUUUCUUACGAAGUGUAGACCCUAAGCAACCAUGCCCAUUUUCACUUUGAUCUGUCAUUGAAACAAGGGGAGAUGCGUGACUUUUCAGGGGAGGUGCAAAAAUUCUCAGGAGAUGUGCGCACCUCCCCACACCUUCCCUCAGAAUCUGGCCAUGGAUUCUGACUCAAAAGUUAGAAAAUUUUUUGUCACUUGAUUUAAUAAAAAUUUAAUGAAUAUAGUUUGCCAUAAGAGCAUAAUAUUAUAAUGCUCAUCUAGAGGGCAUACUAUUACAAAUUUACAACGUUACAUAAAACAUAAAGCAGACACUCAACGAUUUUUACAAAUACCGUACAUUAUUAAACUAGCAUUUGCAAAUCAGUUCAUUAUAAAUAGAUAAAAUAAUAAUUGGUCAUCAAGGCUCUACAAGAGCAAAUCGACCACUUUCUCUAAUGAAACAUCGGACACUAUGAAAAAUUCCGAUAUUUUCAUUUUCUGCGAAUUGUGAGAGAAUCCAGUCAAAAAAAGCCUUUUUUUAGUUAUUAUUUGCAAUUCAGAAAUUGCAUACCAUCUAUCGGCAAGAAUAUGAACAGCAGAGGAAAGCAACUUCAAUCUAGGAGCAGCAAACAACGGACAGUGAAGAAAAUAAUGAUUAAUACUUUCAAUUUCGAAUUAUAAUUCGAAACCACAAAAACAUUCGGAAGAGGGUUUACUCCCAAUUUUAAACAGAUAGUAAUUUAAAGCACAAACAUUUAAACGUAAUCGAGUAUGAAUGAUAGAGGAAUAUCUGUCAAGAGCAAAAUUAAAUAACCUCUUGUAAUGAGGAACUUCAAAAAUUCUAAACAAAGCGUUUUUAAACGAAAUUACUGACUCAAGAUUGCGUAGCUCCGAGGGCUCGGGUUGAAUUUCUUAAUUUGUCCAAUAAACGUGCUGGUAUUGAUUUUAGGUUUUAGAGGAACUGAAAGUUUUACUUGAAUAUUACGAGAAAGAAAGCGGUGAAAAACCUAAAAUUCUCGGAGUUGGAUUAAGUUCCAGGAAAAAUCUAUGCAUUCAUCCAGAGGUACAGUGUAAUAUAACUUUAAAUUAACCAGCCAGUAUAUUCCCCCUCCCCCCAACUGUUUUACCAUGUCUGAUACUAAAAGUUUGCUUGAAGUUCAGACACGACAUAAAAUCAAGUUCCUAAGAUUUUUGUAUGGAUGGAAAUUUAAAAGUGUAAAUAAGAUUUUUAAUAUACAUUUUUUAGACCUACUGUACAUAAGGGAGCGGUUAUCAUGUGACAUUUUCAUCGCCCUAAAACUUUGUGUUUUGUUCAGGUAAACAUUGACAGAGACGGCAAAAAGGUUGACGCAAAAUGUCAGACAUUAACAGCAUCUUAUAUCAGAGAAAGACAUAAAUAUGACAGCAGUGUUCCUG
Molecule: non-coding RNA, 1731 nt
Organism: Paramuricea clavata
Lineage: Eukaryota; Metazoa; Cnidaria; Anthozoa; Malacalcyonacea; Plexauridae
Source: the annotation of a GenBank genome assembly